RNAcentral lists this ribosomal RNA (223 nucleotides) under Striatella unipunctata. RNAcentral describes it as "partial Bacterial large subunit ribosomal RNA". It matches the Rfam family "Bacterial large subunit ribosomal RNA", at positions 2073 to 2307 of the family's 2925-position model. The record is from RNAcentral. Lineage: Eukaryota; Bacillariophyta; Striatellaphyceae; Striatellales; Striatellaceae.
CAGUGGGACGAAAAGACCCCGUGCACCUUUACUAUAGCUUCGUAUUGACCUUGGUCAAACAAUGUGUAGGAUAGCUGGGAGGCUUUGAAGCUGCGUCGCCAGGCGUGGUGGAGCCGUUGUUGAAAUACCAGCCUUUGUUUGAUCGGGGCCUAACCUCUAACGAGGGACAGUGCGUGGUGGGUAGUUUGACUGGGGUGGGCGCCUCCAAAAGAGUAACGGAGGC